This 491-nucleotide ribosomal RNA is filed under the name uncultured bacterium. Its description in RNAcentral is "partial 16S ribosomal RNA". It matches the Rfam family "Bacterial small subunit ribosomal RNA", at positions 30 to 507 of the family's 1533-position model. The record is from RNAcentral.
UUGAACGCUGGCGGCAUGCUUUACACCUGCAAGUCGAACGGUAACAGGCCUUCGGGUGCUGACGAGUGGCGAACGGGUGAGUAAUGCAUCGGAACGUGCCCAGAGGUGGGGGAUAACGCAGCGAAAGCUGUGCUAAUACCGCAUGUGAUCUGAGGAUGAAAGCGGGGGACCAGGCAGCAAUGUUUGGCCUCGCGCCUUUGGAGCGGCCGAUGUCAGAUUAGGUAGUUGGUGGUGUAAAGGCCUACCAAGCCGACGAUCUGUAGCUGGUCUGAGAGGACGACCAGCCACACUGGGACUGAGACACGGCCCAGACUCCUACGGGAGGCAGCAGUGGGGAAUUUUGGACAAUGGGCGCAAGCCUGAUCCAGCAAUGCCGCGUGCGGGAAGAAGGCCUUCGGGUUGUAAACCGCUUUUGUACGGAACGAAAAGGCUCUGGCUAAUACCUGGGGCUGAUGACGGUACCGUAAGAAUAAGCACCGGCUAACUACGUG